CGAACGAAGCACUGAAAGCAGAUUACUUCGGUUUGAAGCUUUCCUUGACUGAGUGGCGGACGGGUGAGUAACGCGUGGGUAACCUGCCUCAUACAGGGGGAUAACAGUUAGAAAUGACUGCUAAUACCGCAUAAGCGCACAGGACCGCAUGGUCCGGUGUGAAAAACUCCGGUGGUAUGAGAUGGACCCGCGUCUGAUUAGCUGGUUGGUGAGGUAACGGCCCACCAAGGCGACGAUCAGUAGCCGGCCUGAGAGGGUGAACGGCCACAUUGGGACUGAGACACGGCCCAAACUAAUACGGGAGGCAGCAGUGGGGAAUAUUGCACAAUGGGGGAAACCCUGAUGCAGCGACGCCGCGUGAAGGAAGAAGUAUUUCGGUAUGUAAACUUCUAUCAGCAGGGAAGAAAAUGACGGUACCUGACUAAAAAGCCCCGGCUAACUACGUGCCAGCAGCCGCGGUAAUACGUAGGGGGCAAGCGUUAUCCGGAUUUACUGGGUGUAAAGGGAGCGUACGCGGUUUAACAAGUCAGAAGUGAAAGCCCGGGGCUCAACUCCGGGACUGCUUUUGAAACUGUUGAACUAGAUUGCAGGAGAGGUAAGUGGAAUUCCU
Molecule: ribosomal RNA, 610 nt
Filed under: uncultured bacterium
Lineage: Bacteria
Description: bacterial SSU rRNA
Rfam family: Bacterial small subunit ribosomal RNA
Source: RNAcentral